GACCAUUCUAAACCUUCCAAACUGUACUGACCCGAACCGAUCCACUCACUGGAAACGAGGCAUUAGCGACUUGGUGUUUUAUGCCUCAUUUACAGUAUUUUGCUUCAAGUCCCAAUGAUAAGUUAUUGAAUCAAGAGGCAGUGUACAUGUGUGGCUAUGUUUGCUAGUAUGUAGUUACCAAUCUUUGUGAAAAUAUAUAUUAAAAAAAAAAGCACUAAAUUUCAAUACGAC
Molecule: non-coding RNA, 231 nt
Organism: Pelobates cultripes (western spadefoot toad)
Lineage: Eukaryota; Metazoa; Chordata; Amphibia; Anura; Pelobatidae
Source: the annotation of a GenBank genome assembly